RNAcentral lists this ribosomal RNA (643 nucleotides) under uncultured bacterium. RNAcentral's name for it is "bacterial SSU rRNA". It matches the Rfam family "Bacterial small subunit ribosomal RNA", at positions 232 to 885 of the family's 1533-position model. The record is from RNAcentral.
CGCGGCCUAUCAGCUUGUUGGUGAGGUAAUGGCUCACCAAGGCGACGACGGGUAGCCGGCCUGAGAGGGCGACCGGCCACACUGGGACUGAGACACGGCCCAGACUCCUACGGGAGGCAGCAGUGGGGAAUAUUGCACAAUGGGCGAAAGCCUGAUGCAGCGACGCCGCGUGAGGGAUGACGGCCUUCGGGUUGUAAAUCUCUUUCAGCAGGGAAGAAGCGAAAGUGACGGUACCUGCAGAAGAAGCGCCGGCUAACUACGUGCCAGCAGCCGCGGUAAUACGUAGGGCGCAAGCGUUGUCCGGAAUUAUUGGGCGUAAAGAGCUCGUAGGCGGCUUGUCACGUCGGGUGUGAAAGCCCGGGGCUUAACCCCGGGUCUGCAUUCGAUACGGGCUAGCUAGAGUGUGGUAGGGGAGAUCGGAAUUCCUGGUGUAGCGGUGAAAUGCGCAGAUAUCAGGAGGAACACCGGUGGCGAAGGCGGAUCUCUGGGCCAUUACUGACGCUGAGGAGCGAAAGCGUGGGGAGCGAACAGGAUUAGAUACCCUGGUAGUCCACGCCGUAAACGGUGGGAACUAGGUGUUGGCGACAUUCCACGUCGUCGGUGCCGCAGCUAACGCAUUAAGUUCCCCGCCUGGGGAGUACGG